This 246-nucleotide unclassified non-coding RNA is filed under the name Hevea brasiliensis (rubber tree). Lineage: Eukaryota; Viridiplantae; Streptophyta; Magnoliopsida; Malpighiales; Euphorbiaceae. The record is from RNAcentral.
AUUUAUCUCUAUUUUCCAAUCCUUUCUUCCUUGCGCCCUCUUCUGAUUCCCUCGUCUACCCAGCUAACCUUUCCUAUAUUUCUCUCUUCUCUUCACACUAGCCUCACUCCUCUACACCUUGUUGUUAAGGACUCCCGACUUUUAUUGAAAUUAGUGCUCUUGUUGUAAGAAUUGCAUGCCAAUGAGGGGGGGCUUUAUUAGUGGUUCCUUAAGAGUUAUAUGCUCUGAGGUCAUCACAAAGAUUUG